RNAcentral lists this ribosomal RNA (459 nucleotides) under uncultured bacterium. RNAcentral describes it as "partial 16S ribosomal RNA". It matches the Rfam family "Bacterial small subunit ribosomal RNA", at positions 338 to 795 of the family's 1533-position model. The record is from RNAcentral.
CCUACGGGAGGCAGCAGUGAGGAAUAUUGGUCAAUGGCCGGAAGGCUGAACCAGCCAUGCCGCGUGAAGGUCAGUGCCCUAUGGGCGUUAAACUUCUUUUGUUCGGGAGCAAUAAUGGUCACGUGUGGCCAGACGAGAGUACCGUCCGAAUAACCAUCGGCUAACUCCGUGCCAGCAGCCGCGGUAAUCCGGGGGAUGCAAGCGUUAUCCGGAUUUAUUGGGCGUAAGGGGCUCGUAGGCGGGUCGUCGCGUCCGGUGUGAAAGUCCAUCGCUUAACGGUGGAUCCACGCCGGGUACGGGGGGGCUAGAGUGCGGUAGGGGAGAGUGGAAUUCCCGGUGUAACGGUGGAAUGUGUAGAUAUCGGGAAGAACACUAAUGGCGAAGGCAGGUCUCUGGGCCGUUACUGACGCUGAGGAGCGAAAGCGUGGGGAGCGAACAGGAUUAGAUACCCGUGUAGUC